GUGGCUGGGCCAGGGGCUGCAACACAGGACAUGGGAGCUACCUGCCCCUCCUGCUCGUGUCUUGUGUUGCAGCCAGUGGAACAGU
RNAcentral lists this microRNA precursor (85 nucleotides) under Oncorhynchus kisutch (coho salmon). Its description in RNAcentral is "mir-187 microRNA precursor family". It matches the Rfam family "mir-187 microRNA precursor family". RNAcentral also lists the same sequence under 5 other names. Lineage: Eukaryota; Metazoa; Chordata; Actinopteri; Salmoniformes; Salmonidae. The record is from Rfam by way of RNAcentral.